Molecule: ribosomal RNA, 512 nt
Filed under: Massilia timonae
Lineage: Bacteria; Pseudomonadati; Pseudomonadota; Betaproteobacteria; Burkholderiales; Oxalobacteraceae
Description: bacterial SSU rRNA
Rfam family: Bacterial small subunit ribosomal RNA
Source: RNAcentral
CGCAAGCCUGAUCCNGCAAUGCCGCGUGAGUGAAGAAGGCCUUCGGGUUGUAAAGCUCUUUUGUCAGGGAAGAAACGGCUGGGGAUAAUACCUNCGGCUAAUGACGGUACCUGAAGAAUAAGCACCGGCUAACUACGUGCCAGCAGCCGCGGUAAUACGUAGGGUGCAAGCGUUAAUCGGAAUUACUGGGCGUAAAGCGUGCGCAGGCGGUUUUGUAAGUCUGACGUGAAAUCCCCGGGCUCAACCUGGGAAUUGCGUUGGAGACUGCAAGGCUGGAGUCUGGCAGAGGGGGGUAGAAUUCCACGUGUAGCAGUGAAAUGCGUAGAGAUGUGGAGGAACACCGAUGGCGAAGGCAGCCCCCUGGGUCAAGACUGACGCUCAUGCACGAAAGCGUGGGGAGCAAACAGGAUUAGAUACCCUGGUAGUCCACGCCCUAAACGAUGUCUACUAGUUGUCGGGUUUUAAUUAAGCUUGGUAACGCAGCUAACGCGUGAAGUAGACCGCCUGGGGAG